This 575-nucleotide long non-coding RNA is filed under the name Daphnia pulex (common water flea). Its description in RNAcentral is "uncharacterized LOC124202006, transcript variant X3". Lineage: Eukaryota; Metazoa; Arthropoda; Branchiopoda; Diplostraca; Daphniidae. The record is from RNAcentral.
UCACAGACAGACAUGACAGUACACGUCAAAAAAGUUUAACAGCGGAGAUCGGAUAGCAAGUUAACUGUUUUUAACUGAAGUUUUGAUGUACCUUGCCAACUAGGUCCUUGUGACAAUAGAAAUGAAAUGAUCUAAUCCAAAAAUCCAAGCUCACAACCCAUGUCUUCUGAAGAAAAAUCAUUUCUGUUGCAGAUUUUGCAUUUAGACCGAAUGAGAACCUUUUUGUUGCCCAUCCAAGGAUAAGGAAAAGGCCAACACCACCAACACGGUCAACAAGGUUUAGCGUUUAUGUUCGCGUAGUUGCUGUCCGCGCGAUGUGGCACGUUGUUGCAGCCUAUGCUGGUGUCUGGUGAAAGAUCUUUCUGCAUCAAGUUCAACUGGUUGUUCCUUGGUGGUGAUUUUGUGUUACCAAAAUUGCAUCAUCAAUCAUCAUAUUGUUAAAUUGUCAUUGUGUCUGCAGUUAUCGUUCAGGAGUUAAGAAGGAACAAAAACAAAUGGGAUGUUUAUGUCAAACAAAUAAUAAACAUGUUUUCGGGAUUGGGAAAGGAAAGUGGAGGAUGUUGGAGGGAGGGGGC